RNAcentral lists this ribosomal RNA (469 nucleotides) under uncultured bacterium. RNAcentral's name for it is "partial 16S ribosomal RNA". It matches the Rfam family "Bacterial small subunit ribosomal RNA", at positions 27 to 507 of the family's 1533-position model. The record is from RNAcentral.
GGACGAACGCUGGCGGCGUGCUUAACACAUGCAAGUCGAACGGAAAGGCCCUGCUUUUGUGGGGUGCUCGAGUGGCGAACGGGUGAGUAACACGUGAGUAACCUGCCCUUGACUUUGGGAUAACUUCAGGAAACUGGGGCUAAUACCGGAUAGGAGCUCCUGCUGCAUGGUGGGGGUUGGAAAGUUUCGGCGGUUGGGGAUGGACUCGCGGCUUAUCAGCUUGUUGGUGGGGUAGUGGCUUACCAAGGCUUUGACGGGUAGCCGGCCUGAGAGGGUGACCGGCCACAUUGGGACUGCGAUACGGCCCAGACUCCUACGGGAGGCAGCAGUGGGAAAUAUUGCACAAUGGGCGGAAGCCUGAUGCAGCAACGCCGCGUGCGGGAUGACGGCCUUCGGGUUAUAAACCGCUUUCGCCUGUGACGAGGCGUGAGUGACGGUAAUGGGUAAAGAAGCACCGGCUAACUACGUG